ACGGAAGGCAGCAGCUAAGAAUAUUCCGCAAUGGACGAAAGUCUGACGGAGCGACGCCGCGUGGAUGAUGGAGGUCGGAAGAUUGUAAAAUCCUUUAUAACUGAGGAAUAAGCAGUGUGAGAGAAACGCAUUGCGGUGACUGUAGGUUAUGAAUAAGCAACGGCUAAUUACGUGCCAGCAGCCGCGGUAACACGUAAGUUGCGAGCGUUGUUCGGAAUUAUUGGGCGUAAAGGGCAUGUAGGCGGUUUUGCAAGCUUGAUGUGAAAGGCAGGAGCUUAACUCCUGGACUGCGUUGAGAACUGCAUGACUAGAGUCACUGAGGGGCAAUCAGAAUUCCAGGUGUAGGGGUGAAAUCUGUAGAUAUCUGGAAGAAUACCAAUGGCGAAGGCAGAUUACCGGCAGAUGACUGACGCUGAAGUGCGAAGGUGCGGGGAGCAAACAGGAUUAGAUACCCUGGUA
Molecule: ribosomal RNA, 459 nt
Filed under: uncultured Treponema sp.
Lineage: Bacteria; Pseudomonadati; Spirochaetota; Spirochaetia; Treponematales; Treponemataceae
Description: partial 16S ribosomal RNA
Rfam family: Bacterial small subunit ribosomal RNA
Source: RNAcentral